CCUACGGGAUGCACCAGUAGGGAAUCUUCCACAAUGGGCGCAAGCCUGAUGGAGCAACGCCGCGUGUGUGAUGAAGGGUUUCGGCUCGUAAAACACUGUUAUAAGAGAAGAAUGGCACUGAGAGUAACUGUUCAGUGUGUGACGGUAUCUUACCAGAAAGGAACGGCUAAAUACGUGCCAGCAGCCGCGGUAAUACGUAUGUUCCAAGCGUUAUCCGGAUUUAUUGGGCGUAAAGCGAGCGCAGACGGUUAUUUAAGUCUGAAGUGAAAGCCCUCAGCUCAACUGAGGAAUUGCUUUGGAAACUGGAUGACUUGAGUGCAGUAGAGGAAAGUGGAACUCCAUGUGUAGCGGUGAAAUGCGUAGAUAUAUGGAAGAACACCAGUGGCGAAGGCGGCUUUCUGGACUGUAACUGACGUUGAGGCUCGAAAGUGUGGGUAGCAAACAGGAUUAGAUACCCUCGUAGUC
This 465-nucleotide ribosomal RNA is filed under the name uncultured bacterium. RNAcentral's name for it is "bacterial SSU rRNA". It matches the Rfam family "Bacterial small subunit ribosomal RNA", at positions 338 to 795 of the family's 1533-position model. The record is from RNAcentral.